GCAACUCGCCUGCAUGAAGCUGGAAUUGCUAGUAAUCGCGGAUCAGAAUGCCGCGGUGAAUACGUUCCCGGGUCUUGUACACACCGCCCGUCACACCAUGGGAGUCGGAAAUGCCCGAAGUCUGUGACCCAACCGGAAGGAAGGAGCAGCCGAAGGCAGGUCUGAUGACUGGGGUGAAGUCGUAACAAGGUAUC
Molecule: ribosomal RNA, 194 nt
Filed under: uncultured bacterium
Lineage: Bacteria
Description: partial 16S ribosomal RNA
Rfam family: Bacterial small subunit ribosomal RNA
Source: RNAcentral